AUACGGAGGAUCCGAGCGUUAUCCGGAUUUAUUGGGUUUAAAGGGAGCGUAGGUGGAUUGUUAAGUCAGUUGUGAAAGUUUGCGGCUCAACCGUAAAAUUGCAGUUGAAACUGGCAGUCUUGAGUACAGUAGAGGUGGGCGGAAUUCGUGGUGUAGCGGUGAAAUGCUUAGAUAUCACGAAGAACUCCGAUUGCGAAGGCAGCUCACUGGACUGCAACUGACACUGAUGCUCGAAAGUGUGGGUAUCAAACAGGAUUAGAUACCCUGGUAGUCCACACAGUAAACGAUGAAUACUCGCUGUUUGCGAUAUACAGUAAGCGGCCAAGCGAAAGCAUUAAGUAUUCCACCUGGGGAGUACGCCGGCAACGGUGAAACUCAAAGGAAUCGACGGGG
This 393-nucleotide ribosomal RNA is filed under the name uncultured bacterium. Its description in RNAcentral is "partial 16S ribosomal RNA". It matches the Rfam family "Bacterial small subunit ribosomal RNA", at positions 523 to 918 of the family's 1533-position model. The record is from RNAcentral.